UUGUGUAAGUAGAAACAGGCCGUUUCUCACCUUACAGCAUGGCUAGUAAGGUUAGAGUAUAUAAAUUCAAUUUGUAUUAUUGUUUAUAAAGACGGCUUAUGCCGUCUUUUAUUUAUUAU
This is a non-coding RNA of Clostridium sp., 119 nucleotides long. Lineage: Bacteria; Bacillati; Bacillota; Clostridia; Eubacteriales; Clostridiaceae. The record is from Rfam.